UACGGAGGAUCCAAGCGUUAUCCGGAAUCAUUGGGUUUAAAGGGUCCGUAGGCGGUUUGGUAAGUCAGUGGUGAAAGCCCAUCGCUCAACGGUGGAACGGCCAUUGAUACUGCCAGACUUGAAUUAUUAGGAAGUAACUAGAAUAUGUAGUGUAGCGGUGAAAUGCUUAGAGAUUACAUGGAAUACCAAUUGCGAAGGCAGGUUUACUACUAAUGGAUUGACGCUGAUGGACGAAAGCGUGGGUAGCGAACAGG
This 254-nucleotide ribosomal RNA is filed under the name uncultured bacterium. Its description in RNAcentral is "partial 16S ribosomal RNA". It matches the Rfam family "Bacterial small subunit ribosomal RNA", at positions 524 to 776 of the family's 1533-position model. The record is from RNAcentral.